CAGCCGCCACGGUAACACGAAGGGGGCUAGCGUUGCUCGGAAUGACUGGGCGUAAAGGGCGCGUAGGCGGCGAUCAAAGUCAGGCGUGAAAUUCCUGGGCUCAGCCUGGGGGCUGCGCUUGAUACUUGGUUGCUUGAGUGGGGAAGAGGGUCGUGGAAUUCCCAGUGUAGAGGUGAAAUUCGUAGAUAUUGGGAAGAACACCGGUGGCGAAGGCGGCGACCUGGUCCUUGACUGACGCUGAGGCGCGAAAGCGUGGGGAGCAAACAGGAUUAGAUACCCGCGUAGUCCCUGUCUCUUAUAC
RNAcentral lists this ribosomal RNA (301 nucleotides) under uncultured bacterium. RNAcentral's name for it is "partial 16S ribosomal RNA". It matches the Rfam family "Bacterial small subunit ribosomal RNA", at positions 509 to 807 of the family's 1533-position model. The record is from RNAcentral.